CCUACGGGAUGCAGCAGUGGGGAAUUUUGCGCAAUGCUCGUAAGAGUGACGCAGCGACGCCGCGUGAAUGACGAAGGCCUUCGGGUCGUAAAGUUCUUUCGACAGGGAAGAAAAUGCCUAUAAGUAACUGUGUAUGUAUUGACGGUACCUGUAUAAGCAGCCCCGGCUAACUCCGUGCCAGCAGCCGCGGUAAUACGGAGGGGGCGAGCGUUGUUCGGAGGGACUGGGCGUAAAGAGCACGUAGGCGGUGUUGUAAGUCAUUAGUCAAAGACUAGAGCUAAACUUUAGUAAGGCUAGUGAUACUAUAAUACUAGAGUAUCAGAGAGGAUUGCAGAAUUCCUGGUGUAGCGGUGAAAUGCGUAGAUAUCAGGAGGAAUACCGUUAGCGAAGGCGGCAAUCUGGCUGGAAACUGACGCUGAGGUGCGAAAGCGUGGGUAGCAAACAGGAUUAGAUACCCCGGUAGUC
Molecule: ribosomal RNA, 465 nt
Filed under: uncultured bacterium
Lineage: Bacteria
Description: partial 16S ribosomal RNA
Rfam family: Bacterial small subunit ribosomal RNA
Source: RNAcentral